Regulatory RNA element from Firmicutes bacterium CAG:882, 163 nucleotides. The record is from Rfam. NCBI's taxonomy places the organism in Bacteria, Bacillati, Bacillota.
UUUGGGAGAAGCUUAGUUAUUCUUAUGACUCUGUUUAAGAUACAGUCACAGGCGGCAUGGAUGCCGGCUGAGUUGCAAACAGCCAAGGAUGGCUGUUUUUGCAACGAUGGCGGAAGUAUAAGAAGAUUUUGCAAAGUCAUUAGAAUAACUUGCUUCGUACAAC